UGACCCUAGGUUAAGUGGGAUUACUUGCUAAAUUUAAGCAUAUCAAUAUACAAAGGAAAGGAAACUUACUAAGAUUCCCCUACUAGUAACGAGCGAACUGGGAAAAACCUAGGUUGAGAAUCAAGUGCUCUUGGCAUUCAAAUUGUAGUCUACAAAAGCAUCUUUAGUGAUAGACCAAGCCUAAGUCCCCUAAAAGGGGCAUUAGAGAAGGUGAGGGCCCCAUUGUGCCUAGACCCUGUCAUACCAUAAAGCACUAUCUACGAGUCAGGUUAUUUGGGAAUAUAGCCCUAAUUAGGUGCUAAAUUCCAUCCAAGGCUGAAUAUGGGAGAAAGAUUGAUAACAAACAAAUACCAAAAAGGAAAGAUAAAAAAGACUUUGAAAAAAAAGUCAAAGAAUACUUGAAAUUGUUAGAAAGGAAGAGGGUAGGGGCCUAUGAUGUGGCCCAGUUAGAUGUGGAAUGGCAAAAGCUAAUCCAUUGAUCGAUUCGAGGCAUGGACCAAUAAAGGUCAGAAUAGCAACCUAAACUCAAGCUUUUGAUAUGCCUAUAGAGAUGUCAUUGCCACAAUCAUGGAAUGUAGCAUGCACCAUCUCAACAUGCCUCAGCAUCCAUUUGCUCUUGGCAUAGGCUUACGGGCUCUUUAUCUGGCCCAUCUUAAAAUAUAGACUAAGGAGUCUAACAUGUGUGCAAGUGAACAAGCUCGAAAACCCAUAAGGUGCACAGAAGCUGAUUGGUGGCAUCCCUCCUGAGUGCGCUGUCGAUUAACCUUAAUCUUCUUGAAAGAUUCAAGUGUGAGCAUGCCUAGGUAAGGUGAUGCCAGAGGAAACUCUGGUGGAGGUUUGAAACAAUACUGAUGUGUAAAUCAUUUAUCUGACUUAGGUAUAGGGGUGAAAGACUAAUUGAAUCAUCUAGUAGCUAGUUCCUUUUGAAGUUUUCCUCAAGAUAGUUAGAGCCCUUAACAAUUCUAUUAGGUAAAGCCAAUGAUUAAAGGCAUCAGGGUUGUAACACUUUUAAGCUAUUCUCAAACUUUAAAUAAGUAGGAUGGUGUGGCUGUUCAUUGAGCCAUGCCAUAAAAUUGAAAGCUCCAAGUAUGCCAUUUUUAGUAAGCAAAACUGGCAAUGUAGGAUGUACUACAAGCUGAGUUAUGGUGCCCAACUUCAUGCUUACCUAGAACCCACAAAGGGUAUUGGUCAAUUAAGACAAUAUGAUGGUGGUCAUGGAAGUUGAAAUUUGCUAAGAAGUGUGUAACAACUCACUUACCAAAUCAACUAGCUUCAAAAAUGGAUGGUGCUUAAGUGUGCUACCUAUAACUAGCCAUGGAGGCAAGGGCUAGGCCCCAAUGAGUAAGAAAGUAUAGCGAUCACCAUAAAACCUAAGCCAUGAGCUCGAGCAGAGCAGUCAUCAGUGUAGAUCAUGGUGGUAGUAGCAAAUAUUCAAAUGAGAACUUUGAAGGCCAAAGAAGGGAAAGGUUUUAUGUGAAUGGCACUUGCACAUAGGUUAGUCAAUCUUCAGAGAUGGGGGAAAUCAAUCCAAUAGCAUAUCUAGCAUGAGUUUCAAAAGGGAAUUAGGUUAAAAUUCUUGAAUAAGGACACAGUGGCUGACGACAACAUUAGAGAGUUUGGAGACAUUAAUGAAGUUCUUGGAAAGAGUCUUUUUUUUUGUUUAAUGGCCUACAUACCUUUAAAACAACUCAACUAGAGGUAAGGUGUAGAGGUCAAAAAAGCACAUGUCGUAUGGUGUUCGAUGUACCUUUAGUAACCCUUGAAAAUUUAGAGCACCGAGUGUCAUCCAUGCCUAGUCAUACUUAAAAUCGCAUUAGGUCUCUAAAGUGAAUAGCCUCUGGUCGAUGGAACAAUGUAGGUAAGGGAAGUUAGCAAAAUGGAUCCAUAACCACAAGAAAAGGAUUGGCUUUGAGGACUGGGUAUAGGGAUCCCAGUCUUGAACCCAUUAGUUGUCAAUGCAUUGUUAAGCUACUCUCAUAGCAAGAAUGGGUAGCUAUGUGCCAGUCGAGGGAUAGAUUGGGAAUGGCUCCCUCAGUGGUCUUCCCUAGGCAAUGAAUAGUUGACUUUGAACUAGUAUGGACAAAGGGAAUCUGAGUGUUUAAUUAAAACAAAGCAUUAUAAUGGUCCCUGCAAAUGCUCACGCAAUGUGAUUUUUGCCCAGUUCUCUGAAUGUCAAAGUGAAAAAAUUCAACCGAGUGUGGGUAAAUGAUAGGAGUAACUAUGAUUCUCUUAAGGUAACCAAAUGCCUCAUCAUCUAAUUAGUGAUGCAAAUGAAUGGAUUAACGAGAUUCCCAUUAUCCCUAUCUACUAUCUAGUGAAACCACACCCAAAGGAAUAGGCUUCGUAGAAUCAAUGGGGAAAAAAGAUUCUUGAGCAUGACUCUAGUCCAACUUUGUGAAAUGACUUAAGAGGUGUAGGAUAAGUGAGAGCCCUUGAGUGAAAUUGAAAUACCACUACUUUUAAUGUUAUUUUACUUAUUCUGUGAAUUGGAGGUGGGGCAUGACCCUUUUUUAAACCCAAAGCUAGCCUCGAUUAGUCGAUCUGGGUGAAAGACAUUGUUAGGCAGGGAGUUUGGCUAGGGCGGCACAUUUGUUAAAAGAUAACACAAAUGUCCUAAGAUGAGUACAACGAGAACAAAAAUCUCAUGUGGAACAAAAGGGUAAAUGCUUGUUUGAUUUUGAUUUCCAAUAUGAAUACAAACUGAGAAAGCAUGACCUAUUAAUCCUUUAGACUUUCAAAAUUUAAAGCUAGAGCUGUCAUAAAAGUUACCAUAAGGAUAACUGGCUUGUGGUAGCCAAGUGUUCACACAACAUUGCUUUUUGAUCAUUCGAUGUUGGCACUUCCUAUCAUUGUGAAGCAGAAUUCACCAAGUGUUGGAUUGUUCAACCACUAUUUAGGAAUGUGAGCUAGGUUUAGACCAUCAUAAGACAGGUUAGAUUUACACUACUGAUGUAGCAUCUCAAUAGUAAUUCAACAUAGUAUGAGAGGAAUAAUUGAUUCACAUAAUUGGUUAUCACAGUUGGUUGAAAAGCUAGUGGUGCAAAGCUAUCAUGCAUUGGAUUAUGAUUCAAUGCCUCUAUAUUUCAGAAUCUAGGCUAGAAGUGAUGCACAUGCCCGUUGCCUAAUUGUUGACCCAUAGUAAGGCCCAUGGCCCUUAAGGGCAUGUGUCAUAGGUGCAGCCCCUAUGAUGAACAAGUAGCAUGGGCCUCCUUAGAGCUCAAUUCCCACCUAG
This 3232-nucleotide ribosomal RNA is filed under the name Durio zibethinus. Its description in RNAcentral is "eukaryotic LSU rRNA". It matches the Rfam family "Eukaryotic large subunit ribosomal RNA". The record is from RNAcentral. Lineage: Eukaryota; Viridiplantae; Streptophyta; Magnoliopsida; Malvales; Malvaceae.